This is a non-coding RNA of Benincasa hispida (wax gourd), 8856 nucleotides long. Lineage: Eukaryota; Viridiplantae; Streptophyta; Magnoliopsida; Cucurbitales; Cucurbitaceae. The record is from RefSeq and is a predicted model, not a curated record.
AGUUAAUUUAGGAAAAAGAAAAGAGAGUUAGGGUUAUAAAGGUGUUGGGGGGACCUUGGGUUGCGUGCUAAAAGAAAAAAAAAAAAAUUCUUCUUCCCUUCUUCUCCUUUCUCCAGAAUGGCGAAACACCCCCCACUGUGCAUCUCCGCCGCCACCGCUCGACCGUGGGUCCACAGCCGCGCGAGUUUCGCCGUUCUAGCCGUGCCUAGCCGAUCGUUGCUUUCUUUUCUUCCCUGUCCGUCGGCCCGACGCCGUCGAAGCCACUGAAGCCGGAGUUCGCGAGGCUCUCAUCUUCGCCGUCGACCGAGUCCGAAACCGCCGAAUGCUGAAGCCGCUGAAGUCGCGAGCCUUUGCCGUCGACCCGAAACACCGAUCGAACAGCCGAAGCUGCAACUCGGAGCCGCGUCGUCCUUUCCGUCUGCCUGUCGCCGGUUCAGGUCGCCGUGGAUCGCGGUGGUUCCGACCGAUCUGUCUAUUGGGGUAAGUUCGGCUGGAAGCCCAUUGUCUCUUGAGAUGUUGGGGCCUAAGCUAACUUUCACCGUGGAAUUUGUGGUUGGUUUCAGGAAAAGUUGUUGAGUGGAGCAAGGUUUCGUUUUGGAUUUUGAUAAGCUUGCUGAAAAUUUUUUAUGUAUAUGUGAGUAAAUUGUGAUAAAAUUAAUUGUGCUAAAGUUGAUAAGUUGGACGUAAGGGUUAAGGGGAUAUUGUGAUAAGGUGCAUGAAUAGGCUGGGGAUGCCUGUGACUUUGCCUUCUCGUGUUCGCCCCUUAUGCCUAUGCUUGCAUUUUAACGCAUGACAAAAGAGAUCUGUGACCUGGGCCAUUAGGACGAUUUACUGUUGAAGGGUUAGGAACCAAGCGGUAAAGUGCUGCAUGUGGUCACCAGGUAUGGCGCCACAAACUAGAGGAAGAGGCGGUCGAGGCAGGAAAGUAGUUGGGGAGCGGGACCCCGACUUGCAAGAACCCGAGAUACAGAGCCAAGGUGCGAGACCCGCCAUCUCGUGACCCCUCUAGGUUAACUUGGUAGAGGGUUAGACACAAGAAGUGGGCUCGAGCUUCGAUUGUGCCCUGCCAGGAUCGUCAUCCUCAGAAUUCCAAUAGAAUAUACGGCUAUGGCUGCAGCUAUUGGGACGUUGUCAUGCAGGCCGUGGUGGGACAGUUAAGGGGCAUGGUAGCCGAGCAGAUAGCCCAACACGUACAGUCAUAGCAGGCGCCAUCCUCGUCAGUCCCGUUACCACUAGUUCAAAAUCAGGAUAGGGCCACGAGUCGGACUGUGGCAGGCCUUUCUUUGGAAGCUGGAUACCUGCGAGAGGCCUUUGGAAGCUGGAUACCUGCGAGAUUUCAAGAAGUAUGAUCCCCCGUCUUUUAACGGAUCUCUAAAAGACCCCACAAAUGCAGAAUUGGGGUUGUCCACUGUUGAGGGGAUCUUUCAGUACAUGAGGUGUCCAGAGGAGUAGAAGUUGCAGUGUGUCGCUUUUGUUCUCAUCGACAAUGUCAAGCGCUGGUGGUGCUCGACUGAGAGAAUGAUAGAAGCUGGUGGAGGCCAAGCCAUGUGGGAUCAGUUCAAGGAGCAGUUUUACGAGAAGUACUUCUCUACUCAUGUGAGGUACAACAAGCAGACUAAGUUCAUGAACUUGAAGUAGGGGACCAUGACAGUAGAAGAGUAUGAAGAGGAGUUUGACAAAUUGUCUUGCUUUGCCCCUGAUCUAGUAUCUACCGAAGCAAAGAGGGUUGAAAGAUUUGUGCAAGGACUUCGAGACGGGGUGCGAGGCAUUGUGCAAGCUCUGGAGCCUCCCACCUACGUCGCAGCCUUCCGAGAGGCAGCACGUGUGGGUUGUCCUUCAGGGAUAGAAUUCCUGAAGUCCUUGACCGGCCCCCGACCAGAAGAGGAAAGUUGAGCAGAAAGUUCCAGGACCUCCGUAGAAGGCCCAGAGUACAAGCAGGUCAGUAGGGCAUGCCCAACGACAGACUACUACUUCAGGAGGAGUUUGGAGGGAAAAGCCAGUGUGCAAGUCAUGUGGGAAGUGUCAUUGAGGACGUUGUCUGAUUGACACAGGAACUUGUUUCAGAUGUAAGCAGAUAUGGCAUAUGGCAGACCAAUGCCCUAUUAGUGGUUCCAGAAGUGCGGGGGUCAGCCCUCGAGUUCGCAUCAGGGUAGUUCAAAUCGACAGCAGUAGCAGGGUUGGGUCUAUGCCACCAAUCGUCGGGAAGCUGAGCACUCGGAAACAGUGGUGAUAGGUACGCUCUUAAUCUUGGGGCACUAUGCCUUGAUGUUGUUUGACUCUGGCUCAUCCCAUUCUUUCAUUUCUUCGUUGUUUGUAAAGCAUGCCAUGUUAGUUUUGGAACAUUUGGGUUAUGUUUUAUCAGUGUCUACACUGUCAGGAGAAAUUAUGAUAGCAAGUGAAAAGAUAAAAGUAUGCCAGUUAGAAAUAGCAAACCGCACCCUUGAUGUGACUCUGAUAGUAUUAGACGUGUGAUUUCGAUGUAAUUCUGGGCAUGGAUUGGUUGGCUGCCAACCAUGCUGGCAUAGAUUGUUCUCGUACGGAGGUGAAUUUUAAUCCCCUUAGGGGGUUGGACAGUAGUUUUGCCCAAGGUGAUUUCAACAGUUAAGGCCAAGAGAUCAAUUAACCAAGGUGUUUGGAGUAUCUUGGCUAGCAUAGUUAACACAAGAGAAGCCGAGGUUGCACUAACCUUUGAACCAGAUGUGAGAGAUUAUCCCAAUGUAUUUCCAGAAGAACUUUUAGGAUUGCCUCCACCAAGGGAGAUUGAUUUUUCGAUCGAACUGGAGCUAGGCACUAUUCCUAUAUCCAAAGCACCGUACAGAAUGGCUCCGACAGAAUUGAAAGAACUGAAGGUUCAAUUGCAGGAACUGCUUGAUAAAGGGUUCAUACGACCCAGUGUUUCUCCGUGGGUGCACUAGUGUUGUUUGUGAAGAAAAAGGAUGGGUCGUUAUGUUUAUGCAUAGACUACAGGGAGUUGAAUAAGGUGACCAUCAAGAAUAAAUACCCGCUUCCUAGAAUCGAUGACCUGUUUGGCUAGCUACAGAGUGCUACCGUAUUUUCCAAGAUUGACCUACGAUCAGGUUACCAUCAGCUGAGGAUCAGGGACAACGAUAUCUCAAAGACUGCAUUUUGAUCCAGAUACGGGCAUUACGAGUUCAUUGUAAUGUCUUUAGGUCUGACCAAUGCUCCAGCGGUAUUCAUGGAUUUGAUGAACCGGGUGUUCAGGGACUUCCUAGACACCUUUGUAAUCGUUUUUAUUGAUGACAUCUUGGUAUACUCCAAGAUAGAGGUGGAACACGAGGAACAUCUUAGGAAGGUCCUAGGAACACUGAGAGAAAACAAACUGUAUGCAAAGUUUUCUAAGUGUGAGUUCUGGCUACGGAAGAUGUCCUUCCUUGGGCAUGUGGUGUCGAAGGAUGGGGUUUCAGUGGAUCCAGCUAAGAUUGAGGCCGUUACCAAUUGGCCCCGCCCUACAACAGUUAGUGAGGUGAGUAGCUUCCUGGGAUUGGCUGGAUACUAUCGUAGGUUUAUAGAGAAUUUCUCUAGCAUGGCCACAUCGUUGACUCAGCUAACCAGGAAGGGAGCUUCGUUUGUUUGGAGAAAAACUUGUGAGGACAGUUUUCAGGACCUCAAGUAGAGGUUGGUUUCAGCCCUGGUUCUCAUCGUACCAGACGGCUCCGGGAACUUCAUGAUCUAUAGUGAUGCUUCUAAGAAGGGUUUGGGUUGCGUGCUUAUGCAACAUGGUAGGGUGGUCGCCUACGCCUCCCGCCAGUUGAAGAACCAUGAGCGCAACUAUCCUACCCACGACUUGGAAUUGGCAGCGGUAGUGUUUGCCCUGAAGAUUUGGAGGCACUACUUGUAUGGGAAAAAAUCCAAGUGUUCGCUGACCACAAGAGUCUGAAAUACUUCUUCACCCAGAAAGAGUUAAACAUGAGGCAGCGUAGGUGGCUCGAGUUAGUAAAGGAUUAUGACUGCGAGAUCCUCUACCACCCAGGUAAGGCAAAUGUGGUAGCCGAUGCCCUCAGUCGAAAGGUAGCUCAUUCGGCUGCCUUGAUCACUAAGCAGGUUCAGUUGUGUAAAGACCUGGAACGAGUAGAGAUUGCGGUGGUAGUGGGGGGAAAUCACUUCGCAGCUAGCCCAGUUGAUAGCACAACCAACCUUGAGGUAGAGCAUUAUUGUUGCAUAAUAGGGUGACCUCGACCUGGUUCAGAAGUGUUGUCAGGUAGGGUUGGGUCAGGCAAGUGAAUUUUCUGUAUCAGUGGACAAGGGUCUUUUGUAUUAGGGACGGUUGUGCGUCCCAGCAGAUGAUGGUCUGAAAGGAGAACUGUUGGCAGAAGCUCAUAACUAUCCAUUCUCGAUGCACCCAGGUAGUACCAAAAUGUACCAAGAUGUGAAACGGUAUUACUGGUGGCUCAAUAUGAAAAAGGGAGAUAGCUGACUAUGUCAGUAGAUGUUUAGUCUGUCAGCAGGUGAAGGCCCCGAGGCAGAAGAUAGCAGGCUUGCUACAACCGUUGGAUGUGCCAGAAUGGAAAUGGGAGAGCGUGGCUAUGAAUUUUAUUAUGGGUUUGCCCAGGACAGCGAAGGGUUUCUCGAUGAUUUGGGUUGUGAUAGACAGACUCACCAAGGUGUACAUUUUAUUCUAGGAAAGCCCACGUACACUGUGAGUAAGUGGGUUCAGUUAUAUAUGAAGGAGAUAGUAAGGUUGCAUGGUGUGUCAGUGUCAAUUGUGUCCGACAGGGACCCUCGUUUCACCUUCAGUUUUUGGAAGAGCCUCCAGGCAGCUUUAGGGUCGCAGUUGAACUUCAAUAUAACUUUCCACUCCCAAACUGAUGGGUAAACAGAACGUAUAAAUCAGACGUUGGAGGACAUGUUGCAUGCUUUUGCGUUGGAAUUCUCAGGGGGUUGGGACUCCCACUUUCAUUUGGCAGAGUUUACUUAUAAUAAUAGCUAUCAGGCUACCAUUGGCAUGUCGCCGUUUGAAGCUCUUUAUGGCAGAGGUUGCAGGUAUCCUGUUUGCUGGGGUGCGAUGGGAGAGGAAACUGGUGGAAUUGAGUUAGUGGAGUUGACGAAUGAAGCCAUGCAGAAGAUCAGGGUUAGAAUGCUAGCAGCGCAAAGUAGACAGAAAAGUUUAUGCGGAUGUUUAGGCGUAAAGAUCUGGAGUUGAAGCAGGUGACAAGGUUGUUCCUGAAAGUGGCACUGAUGAAGGGUGUCCUGAAGCUUUGGGAGGUGCCACUUGGUGAAGGUUCUAUGGUAGAACCAUCAGUUUGAGGAAGCAAACUUAGGAGCGAGAGGACGAGAUGAGGGCACUGCAUCCAAGAGUUCUUCUAGGAUUAGAACUUCCGAGGAUGAAAGUUUAUUAACGGGGGAAGAGUGUGACAGCCACCAAAGAUUCGUUUUUUUAAAAAAAAAAAGAAAAAGAAAAAAAAGAAAUUCUUCUUCCCUUCUUCUCCUUUCUCCAGAAUCGUGAAACACCCCCCCACUGUGCAUCUCCACCGCCACCGUUCGACCGUGGGUCCACAGCCGCGCGAGUUUCGCCGUUCAGUCGUGCCUAGCCGAUCGUUGCUUUAUUUUCUUCCCUGUCCGUCGCUGGAUGCCGUCGAAGCACUGAAGCCGGAGCUCGCGACGCUCUCAUUUCGCCGAUCGACUGAGUCCGAAACCGCCGAAUGCUGAAGCCGCGAGCCUUUGCCGUCGACUUGAAACACCGAUCGAACAGUUGAAGCUGCAACUUAGAGCCGCAUCGUUUCCAGCCAUGUCGUCCUCUCCGUUCGCCUGUCACCGGUUUAGGUCACCGUGGAUCGCGGUGGUUUCGACCGAUCUGUCUAUUGGGGUAAGUUCGGUUCCUUGUUUGGAAGCCCAUUGUCUCUUGAGAUGCUAGAGCCUAAGCUAAUCUUCACCAUGGAAUUUGUGAUUGGUUUCAGGAACGUGUGGCGGUGAAGAAAGUUGUUGAGUGGAGCAAGGGUUCGUUUUAGGUCAGUUCGUAUCCUGAGGUAAGUGGUUUACUGUCGGUUGCCCUAAGAUUUUGAUAAGCUUGCCGAGAAAUUUUUAUGUCAUAUAUGAGUAAACUGUGAUGAAAUCUGUUAUGGGUAAUUGUGCUAAAGUUAACGUAUGAGAAUACCGUGAUGUAUACUGUGAUGAAGUUGGACGUAAGGUUUAAGGGGAUAUUGUGAUAAGGUACGUGAGUAGGCUGGGGAUAGUGUGCUAAUGUUGAUGUAUGAAUAGACUGUGAUAAGGCUUGAUGUAUGAAUAGACUGUGAAAGGCUUGAUGUAUGAAUAAACUGUGAUAAGGCUUGAUGUAUGAAUAGAUUGUGAUACAGUUGAUGUAUGGGUAAUGGUGUUAAAGUUUGAUACUGAUUCAUGGCCUUGAUUGCAUGCUUAUAUCUGAGAUUGUACUGAUCGUUUGUAUGCUUAUGUCCAUAUGAGAUUUUAGUGGCUAUUAGUGUUACCAUUGGGCUAUGCACAUCGCAUGUGUGAGCCUUCAGACCCACACCCUAUGCUUAUGUACGGUGUCAUUUUUGGGAUCACCGUUUGUGUUUAUGCCUGUGACUUUUUGUGUCACUACUUAUGAAAGCGUGUCUUCGGGUUCGCCCCUUAUGCCUAUGCCUAUGCCUAUGUCUAUGUUUAUGAAGUCUUUGUGCAUUUUGGUUCAAUGGAAAGACUAACAGAUCACUGAGUGAGCCCAGUAGUGGGCUGCUUACUGAGUAUAUUUUUAUAGUCACCCUUUCUUUCUCUAUUUUUCAGGUAAGGGUAAUGACAGACUGGCGCAUGACAAAAGAGAAUCGUGACCUGGCUAUUAGGACGAUUUACUGCUUCCGCACUUAGUGUUUUGAAGUCUGGCUUAGGAAUUAGACGUUUUACACUCUCAUGCAAAAUUCAUUUAUUUUAUUAAUUGACUAUUUAAUUGUUUUCAUUUUAAAGUUGGGUUUAGAGGUAUCCCAAAUGGUAAAUUUUUAUUUUAUUUUAUUUUGUUUUGUUUUAGUUUAUUUAUUAUUAUUUAAUUAUGUUUUCAUAUCUUUGCUCAUUUGAGCAUUACUAAAUAAAAUUAAGCUUUUAUUUGAUGGUUUAAAAGAAAAUGUACGGUUAAGCCUAUGCAUGCAUGAAGUAGCGUCCUAGAAUUAAGUAGGAAACCAGGGGCAUUACACACCCAGUUUCGUACAAUAUUCUUUUUCUUUAGUUAUAUCUGCUUUUCAUUAACUUUUCUUUUCUUUACAAGUUCUUUUCUCAUCUCUCUUGUUAUUUUGUUGGUAUUUAUCAUUAUGGUUUUUCGCACAAUAAUUGUAGAUUCAAAGUUUUGACUUUCUUAAUCAAAAGUCUCUAUGUAUCAUGCCAGGAAGUAGGCUCAUGUUGGCUUCUAUCCACCGUAGAUUUUUACCUUCUAUCAAUAAUGGAAUCAGUAAUAGAAGUCUGUCAUGAACAGACUUCAGUUCACAACCUAAAUUUGUCGACACUAGACUUUGGAUUUAAACACAGGGCAAAAAUAGCAAACUAUUUUUUUUAAUUAAUUCCAAUUUUACCCUUACUCGAAGUAUCAUGAUAAACUUCUAUCAAUAGUAGAAGAAUAUCACUCAAUAGAACUCCAUUGGUGACAAAUUCUUGUUACCUAUUGAAAUCUAUUAGUUAGUCACAAUGUUGGCAGCUAAACAAUAACCAAACAAAUCAGAAAAAUCCUAAUACAAAAGGAAAAGGCAAGAAUGUAAGAAGUCAACUAAAGAUAUUAGAAGAAGCAAUAGUAUAUCAACAUUAUUGAGUUCCUUGUAUUUAGUUGAUGAAUAUUCUUAUGGGGUUUAACAAAAAAUUAUCUUUAAUAUAACCAUAUACAAGUGUAGAAUUUCUCAAUGAUAUUAAUCCAUCAUUGGUUAAGCUCUAUCAUUGAUAGGACAUACCAUGAUAUAAAAUAAGAAAAUGUCAUCAACAUUACAAUCUCACUUUUUUUUUCACCCAACCAAAUAAUCCUUCUCUAUCUAUUCAAAUGUUGCCUAUUUCUUGGUGAGAUGUAAGUGUAACCACAGAACGAUAGAAGACUAAACAUACAUAAAAGAUAAUUAAAAAUGUAAAAGUUUGUCGAUUAUUGAACCUUACAGACUAAUAGAGGAAGCUGUCAGUUAUAGACUCAUAUCAGUAAUAGAUUAUUACUCAUAUGUAGAGGUAUAGCUGUCAGUUAUAGACUCCUAUCAGUGGUAGAUUACUAUUCACAUGUAGAAUUAUAUCAUUAAUAGAAGUCUUUCACUGACAACAUACUUUAUCAGUGAUAGAAGUCUUUCAUCGAUAACGAUACUCAAUCAUUGAUACGAGUCUAUCUUAGGAGUAAAUUGUGUGCUUAGUUAAAUUGGGACAAUUUAGUAAUUUUAGAAUUUAAAAAAGGGUAAAUAUAAAUUUAUACUCUUGAAGUUUGGAGGUUGUAUCAAUUUAAACUCUAAACUAAUAACUGUAUCAGUUUAAACUCUGAACUUUGAUAAGUGUAUUAGUUUAAACCCCAAACUAAUAAUUGUAUCAAUUUAAACCUUGAACUUUCAUAAGUGUAUCAAUUUAAACCCUCCGUUAUGUUUUAUUUGGAUUAUGAAAAUCUAAGGUUUAAAUUGAUAUAUUUAUUAAAGUUUAGUGUUAUGCUUUUUUUGGCAGAUAAUAUUUUCUUUUAUCUCUAUUAUUGAAUAUUUUGUCUCUGACUUUUUGGGCGAAUAUUUGGCUCUAGUUUUCUUAUAAUGUUUGGUUAUCGAUCUUCUAGGUGAUUCUUUUUUGUAUAAAGGUUCUUGCCAUGUAUGUGGGAUUAUUUCCUUUUUGGUGUUGUAUUUAGUUGUAUGCUUGCUCUUGAAUUAGGCAAGCUGUAUGUUGUUGAGUAAGUUACUCUACUUAAUGUUUUUUUUU